Molecule: long non-coding RNA, 337 nt
Filed under: Gossypium raimondii (Peruvian cotton)
Lineage: Eukaryota; Viridiplantae; Streptophyta; Magnoliopsida; Malvales; Malvaceae
Description: long non-coding RNA (GRAI_LNC009537)
Source: RNAcentral
AGGCGCGGGCGGUGCACUCGAGGAGGAGCAAUGCACAUGGGGGCUAGGGUUUCUUUUUUUUUGUGAAAAGAUGUUUAGGCUUUGGGCUUGUUGGGCCACUAGAGUUUUUUGUAAUUUGGGUCUGUUGGGUUUAUUGUAAAUGGACUUGGUAUUUGGACUUUUUAUUCAUUUGAGUUUUAUUUAUUUUUUAUAUUUGGUCUUGGGCCCGGGCGAAAUUAGACCAUUACAGCUGCCCUUCUUUGCUCGUUGUCGUGUAACGGGAAUAGAGCAAAGACUUCAAAAAAGGCUAAUUUUGUCCAGUCUCACUGAAUCUUAACUUCUUGGUGCUUAUCUUCUU